Molecule: long non-coding RNA, 354 nt
Organism: Telopea speciosissima
Lineage: Eukaryota; Viridiplantae; Streptophyta; Magnoliopsida; Proteales; Proteaceae
Exons: 3
Source: RefSeq, a predicted model, not a curated record
GUGACCUGCCUGAAAUACAACAACCUCUGUUCAUAUCAUACGAUCUGCAGGAUAAGAAAACUGUGCCAGUGAAAGGAUCAGAGGUGAAAAGAACAAGAAGAGACCUUGGAGAAUGGGGAGAGAAUAUGUUCAAGAUAUUUGCGAGACAAUCAGAUUGGACACAGAGGCAAUUGAUCCAAGAGACAGACCAGCCUGUAAAGGCCAUCAUGUGGCUUCUUUUGGGGGAAAGAAAUAUCAGAGUUCUUAAGGCUUUGCAGAAUAAGCAUAUCAUAUACAGAGGUGGAAAAUUUUCUAUGUAUAAUGUGAUAUACUAUAGUUCCAAGGGUCUUAAAGAAUGACAAGUAGUACAGUUCC